AAUUUCGAAAAUAAUAAAUAAUAUGUAAACAUACAACAUAAAAAAUGAAAAUACUACAUUAAACAUAUGUAAAAUUACCAUUUUACAUUUAAAAAUAACAAUAUUAUGUAAACAUACAAUAUAAAAAAAAUGGAAAAACUACAUUAAACAUAUGUAAGAUUACCAUUGUUCACUAAAAAAACGGUUUAUCUUCAUAAUGUAACAUUACCAUUUUAUAAAAAAAAAAAAAACAUAAAUAUAACUAUUUGACUAUUUGUCCAAGUUCUUCUAUUAAACAUUGCCGUUUUACAUUAAAAAUGGAAAAAUACGUAAAAAUUUAAACAUCCAUCUUAAAAUAUAAAAUAUAGACAUUAACUAAAUAUAAAGUAUAAGAAAUAGAAAUACUCAAUAUAAAAAAAAGUAAAUAUUCUAAAUAUAUAAAUAUAAGAAUUAUAUAUACAAUAAUAAGUAAAUCCACAAUUUUUAAAAAAUGGAAAGAGUACAUUAAAUAUUAAACAUCUAUCUUAAAAUGUAAAAUAUAGAUAUUAAGUAAAUAGAAAAUAUAAGAAAAAGAAAUACACAACUUAAAAACAAUGAAAAAAGUAUAUUAAGAUUUAAACAUCUAUUUUAAAAUGUAAAAUAUAGAUAUUACGCAAAUAGAAAUUAUAAGAAAAGGAAAUACACAAUUUAAAAAAAUGGAAAAAGUACAUUAGUAUUUAAACAUCUAUCUUAAAAUGUAAAUCAAUGUUAAAAUAUAAAAUUAUUAGUAAAUAGAAACUAUAAGAAAUAGAAAUACACAAUAUAAAGAAAAAUAAAUAAUAAGUAAAUAUAUAAUAUAAUCUCGAAAGAUGACACGUGGCAUAAAAUAUAGUUUUACAUUUUAAUUUUAUUAUUUUCGAAAAUUAUAAAAAAAAUAUGUAAACAUACAGCAUAAAAAAUGGAAAAACUACAUUAAACAUAUGUAAGAUUACUAUAUUUAACUUAAAAAAAAGACGGCUUAUCUCCAUAAUGUAA
Molecule: long non-coding RNA, 993 nt
Filed under: Brassica rapa (field mustard)
Lineage: Eukaryota; Viridiplantae; Streptophyta; Magnoliopsida; Brassicales; Brassicaceae
Description: long non-coding RNA (BRAP_LNC006113)
Source: RNAcentral